Molecule: non-coding RNA, 708 nt
Organism: Candoia aspera
Lineage: Eukaryota; Metazoa; Chordata; Lepidosauria; Squamata; Candoiidae
Source: the annotation of a RefSeq genome assembly
AUGGUCCCCUGGCUAAACCUGGUGUCCUUUUUAGUAGUCCUGCAAGGAGUUCAGUGUGAGGUCCAGUUGGUGGAGUCCGGAGGGGACGUGAGGAGGCCUGGAGAGUCCCUCCGUCUCUCCUGCCAAGCCUCCGGAUUCGACUUCGGGAGCUAUGAAAUGAGCUGGGUGAGACAGGCUCCCGGAAAAGGACUGGAAUGGGUGGCAUACAUACAUCCUUAUUCCAGUACUAUUACCUACUCGGAAAACGUCAAGGGACGCUUCACCACCACCAGGGACAACUCCAAAAGCCAACUCUAUCUGCAGAUGAACAGCCUGAAGACGGAGGACACGGCAGUCUAUUACUGUGCAAGAUACACAGUGGGAGGAAGUGAGUCUGAAGCCUGGCAAAAACUCUCUCUUCCUCAGAGCUCAGAGGCCCAGCUGGUGGAGUCCGGAGGGGAUGUGAGGAGGCCUGGAGAGUCCCUCCGCCUCUCCUGCCAAGCCUCUGGUUUCAACAUCAGCAGCUCUACUAUGUACUUUGUGAGACAGGCUCCAGGGAAAGGCCUGGAAUGGGUGUCCAGCAUAAGCUAUGGUUCCAGUUAUAUUUACUACUCGGACAAAGUCAAGGGACGCUUCACCAUCUCCAGGGACAACUCCAAAAGCCAAGUCUAUCUGCAAAUGAACAGCCUGAAGCCGGAGGACUCGGCAGUCUAUUACUGUGCAAGAGGA